This 545-nucleotide long non-coding RNA is filed under the name Rattus norvegicus (Norway rat). Its description in RNAcentral is "long non-coding RNA NONRATT001217". Lineage: Eukaryota; Metazoa; Chordata; Mammalia; Rodentia; Muridae. The record is from RNAcentral.
GGAGGAAAGCCACAUCUAGGGGCCGGAGCCUGUAUCAGGAAUUGAUUGGUCAGGACUCAGUUUCAAGUACUGAGCUUUCUCCAGCCUCCGCACCAUUCCACUUCCCAGGAUGUUAUCCAGACCCUCUGCCGAAGGGUGAGAUGAAGUAGAGGCAGCAGUGGACUCUAGAAUCCUGGAUGUUCUUCCUGUUCAAGCCACUCUCGUCCCUGAGGUACUGCUCAAACUGCUCCUCGAUGAAGCGAACCACAGGCAGCCAGCUGGAGUGUGGAGAGGAGAUAGGUAGUCUAAGAUCACAGGGCAGGGGACAGGAUGAAGCUAGCCAGGGCUGUGCAGUGCAAAGUAACUUCUUUGUUCCUAACCAAAGCCAUCAUCAGGGACAGCUGGCAACGGAACAUCAAGAAAUGUGGUGGCUGCACACCUGUAAUCUUAGCACUCAGGAAGCUGAAGCAGGAGGAUUGCCACAUUUGAGGCCAACAUGGCCUACAUAGUGAGUUCCAGGCCAGUUUGGGCUAAUAUGACACCAUCUCAAAAAAAAAAAAAAAAAA